RNAcentral lists this long non-coding RNA (402 nucleotides) under Rattus norvegicus (Norway rat). RNAcentral describes it as "long non-coding RNA NONRATT003515". Lineage: Eukaryota; Metazoa; Chordata; Mammalia; Rodentia; Muridae. The record is from RNAcentral.
CUGUGCCUACAGAGACAUGAGGCUGAGCUGGAUCCUGACAGUACUGUCCAUUUGCCUGAGUGCCCUGGUCACAGCCACAGGGGCCGAAGGCAAGCGGAAGCUGCAGAUUGGAGUGAAGAAACGUGUGGAUCACUGUCCCAUCAAGUCUAGAAAGGGAGAUGUCUUACACAUGCAUUACACGGAUGUGUGAAGGGGAAAAGCGGAAGCUAGUGAUCCCGUCUGAGCUGGGGUAUGGAGAGCGGGGAGCCCCCCCAAAGAUACCAGGUGGAGCAACCCUGGUGUUUGAGGUGGAACUGCUCAAGAUUGAGAGACGUUCAGAACUGUAGCAGGCUGCAGAGGGGUAGGAGGCCCCUAUCAGGGACCAGACUGUUUAAAAACAAACAAAAAAACCUUUAAAACCCC